AGAGUUUGAUCCUGGCUCAGGAUGAACGCUAGCGGCAGGCUUAACACAUGCAAGUCGAGGGGUAGAGUGGGCUUGCUCACUUGAGACCGGCAAACGGGUGCGGAACACGUACACAACCUACCCUUGUCUGGGGAAUAGCCUUCGGAAACGGAGAUUAAUACCCCAUAGUAUACCGGAGUGGCAUCACUUUGAUAUUAAAGAUUCAUCGGACAGGGAUGGGUGUGCGUAAGAUUAGGUAGUUGGUGCGGUAACGGCGCACCAAGCCCACGAUCUUUAGCUGAUGUGAGAGCAUGAUCAGCCACACGGGCACUGAGACACGGGCCCGACUCCUACGGGAGGCAGCAGUGAGGAAUAUUGGUCAAUGGACGCAAGUCUGAACCAGCCAUGCCGCGUGAAGGAUGAAGGCGUUCUGCGUUGUAAACUUCUUUUACCGGGGAAGAAACCACCUUUUUCUAAGGGUGUUGACGGUACCCGGGGAAUAAGCACCGGCUAACUCCGUGCCAGCAGCCGCGGUAAUACGGAGGGUGCAAGCGUUAUCCGGAUUUACUGGGUUUAAAGGGUGUGUAGGCGGGCCCUUAAGUCCGGGGUGAAAUCCCGAAGCUCAACUUCGGAACUGCCCUGGAUACUAUAGGCCUUGAAUUAUGUUGAGGUAGGCGGAAUAUAACAUGUAGCGGUGAAAUGCAUAGAUAUGUUAUAGAACACCGAUUGCGAAGGCAGCUUGCUAAGCAUAUAUUGACGCUGAGGCACGAAAGCGUGGGGAUCAAACAGGAUUAGAUACCCUAGUAGUCC
This 789-nucleotide ribosomal RNA is filed under the name uncultured bacterium. RNAcentral describes it as "bacterial SSU rRNA". It matches the Rfam family "Bacterial small subunit ribosomal RNA", at positions 8 to 796 of the family's 1533-position model. The record is from RNAcentral.